Tachyglossus aculeatus (Australian echidna) is the source of this 352-nucleotide long non-coding RNA. RefSeq lists it as uncharacterized. The transcript has 3 exons. NCBI's taxonomy places the organism in Eukaryota, Metazoa, Chordata, Mammalia, Monotremata, Tachyglossidae. The record is from RefSeq and is a predicted model, not a curated record.
CUUGGGAGACAUGGCUGUUCCUCAACAAAACCCCUGCAGAACUGUCACACCUUUGGCUGGCUCAAGAGUUCCCACCCAUUUGCAUACUGUAAAGACCUCAGGCAAGGCUGCCACCUUCACUUGCCUUUGUACAAAGAGGAGUUUUAGUCGUCAACCCUGAACGUCUUGAUUAUCCUGUGCAGACACCAUCUCUUUGAAUCAUAGGAGGACCCAAUCCACAAGCCAAGGAAGACUAUCAGCUUUUUUAUUGACUUUUUAAAUGCUGUCAUGGCCAGGAAAUGGAGGAAGGCCCCACCGGUUUUCCUGGCCUCCCAGGAGGAGGGAGAUGAGUCGGUUCUGCUGUCAGAAGUCA